AUGUAUGUAUAUGUGUGUGUAUACACACAUAUACAUGUGUGUGUGUAUAUACAUAUAUAUACACACACGUGUACAUAUA
Molecule: microRNA precursor, 79 nt
Filed under: Mus caroli (Ryukyu mouse)
Lineage: Eukaryota; Metazoa; Chordata; Mammalia; Rodentia; Muridae
Description: miRNA (MGP_CAROLIEiJ_G0007132.1)
Source: RNAcentral